This 372-nucleotide long non-coding RNA is filed under the name Phoenix dactylifera (date palm). Its description in RNAcentral is "long non-coding RNA (PDAC_LNC004387)". The record is from RNAcentral. Lineage: Eukaryota; Viridiplantae; Streptophyta; Magnoliopsida; Arecales; Arecaceae.
UUUUUUUCUUUUCUUUUUUUCUUUUUUCUUUUCUUUCUAUCUUUCCAUCUUUUCUUUGUUCCUUUCUUCUUCUUCUUUCAUUCCUUCUUUCUUUUCUUUCUUUUUUUUCUCCCUUCUACUUUUUUCUUCUUUCUUUACUUCUCUUCUUUCCUUUUCUUCUUCUUUCCAUUAUUUUUCUUCUUUCUUCUUCUCUUCUAUGUUGAUGGGUUUUGGAGUCUGCCCGGACCCCAAUCCCAUUUUCUCACAACAAUGGAUGGGAGGUUGGGCGAUCCCUUAUCCCACCAAGAUUAAAAAUAUUGAUCUACAUUAACUUAGACUCCUUAAUAGAUUCCUAAAUAUGUUGGACUCCAUCUUCUCUCUAAUUUCAACUCA